UGGCGGCUGCCUACACAUGCAAGUCGAACGAACCCUUCGGGGUUAGUGGCGCACGGGUGCGUAACGCGUGGGAAUCUGCCCUUGGGUUCGGAAUAACAGUUAGAAAUGACUGCUAAUACCGGAUGAAGUCUUCGGACCGAAGAUUUAUCGCCCAGGGAUGAGCCCGCGUAGGAUUAGGUAGUUGGUGGGGUAAAGGCCUACCAAGCCGACGAUCCUUAGCUGGUCUGAGAGGAUGAUCAGCCACACUGGGACUGAGACACGGCCCAGACUCCUACGGGAGGCAGCAGUGGGGAAUAUUGGACAAUGGGGGAAACCCUGAUCCAGCAAUGCCGCGUGAGUGAUGAAGGCCUUCGGGUCGUAAAGCUCUCUUACCAGGGAUGAUAAUGACAGUACCUGGAGAAUAAGCUCCGGCUAACUCCGUGCCAGCAGCCGCGGUAAU
This 439-nucleotide ribosomal RNA is filed under the name uncultured Sphingomonas sp. RNAcentral describes it as "bacterial SSU rRNA". It matches the Rfam family "Bacterial small subunit ribosomal RNA", at positions 37 to 524 of the family's 1533-position model. The record is from RNAcentral. Lineage: Bacteria; Pseudomonadati; Pseudomonadota; Alphaproteobacteria; Sphingomonadales; Sphingomonadaceae.